Molecule: ribosomal RNA, 447 nt
Filed under: uncultured bacterium
Lineage: Bacteria
Description: bacterial SSU rRNA
Rfam family: Bacterial small subunit ribosomal RNA
Source: RNAcentral
UCCCAGACUCCUACGGGAGGCAGCAGUGGGGAAUAUUGCACAAUGGGGGAAACCCUGAUGCAGCAACGCCGCGUGGGUGAAGGAGCGUUUCGGCGCGUAAAGCCCUGUCAGCGGGGAAGAAGAAAGACGGUACCCGACCAAGAAGCCCCGGCUAACUACGUGCCAGCAGCCGCGGUAAUACGUAGGGGGCAAGCGUUAUCCGGAUUUACUGGGUGUAAAGGGAGCGUAGACGGCAGUGCAAGUCCGGAGUGAAAGCCCGGGGCUCAACCCUGGGACUGCUCUGGAAACUGUAAAGCUGGAGUGCGGGAGGGGCAGGCGGAAUUCCUGGUGUAGCGGUGAAAUGCGUAGAUAUCAGGAGGAACACCGGCGGCGAAGGCGGCCUGCUGGACCGUAACUGACGUUGAGGCUCGAAAGCGUGGGGAGCAAACAGGAUUAGAUACCCCAGUA